Molecule: ribosomal RNA, 301 nt
Filed under: uncultured bacterium
Lineage: Bacteria
Description: partial 16S ribosomal RNA
Rfam family: Bacterial small subunit ribosomal RNA
Source: RNAcentral
CAGUAGCCACGGUAAUACGAAGGGGGCUAGCGUUGCUCGGAAUUACUGGGCGUAAAGGGAGCGUAGGCGGACAUUUAAGUCAGGGGUGAAAUCCCAGAGCUCAACUCUGGAACUGCCUUUGAUACUGGGUGUCUUGAGUGUGAUAGAGGUAUGUGGAACUCCGAGUGUAGAGGUGAAAUUCGUAGAUAUUCGGAAGAACACCAGUGGCGAAGGCGACAUACUGGAUCAUUACUGACGCUGAGGCUCGAAAGCGUGGGGAGCAAACAGGAUUAGAUACCCGGGUAGUCCCUGUCUCUUAUAC